CGUGAUAAGGGGAUCUCGAGUGCCAGCAUUAUAAUGUUGGCUGUCCAGAUGCCUAAAAAGCAUCUGUUAGCAAGGGCCGGGCAAGACCGGUGCCAGCCGCCGCGGUAACACCGGCGGCCCGAGUGGUAACCGCUAUUAUUGGGUCUAAAGGGUCUGUAGCCGGCCAGGUAAGUCCCUUGGGAAAUCUGGCAGCUCAACUGUCAGGCUGCUAGGGGAUACUGUUUGGCUUGGGACCGGGAGAGGUGAGAGGUACCUUGGG
This 259-nucleotide ribosomal RNA is filed under the name uncultured Methanosaeta sp. RNAcentral describes it as "partial 16S ribosomal RNA". It matches the Rfam family "Archaeal small subunit ribosomal RNA", at positions 366 to 624 of the family's 1478-position model. Lineage: Archaea; Methanobacteriati; Methanobacteriota; Methanomicrobia; Methanotrichales; Methanotrichaceae. The record is from RNAcentral.